UCAGCUGUUCCAAACACAGGCUUUCUGUAGCAACUCUUGAUUACUCAAACAGUUGAUAGCGUCUCGCUUCCACAGUUACGGCUGCGGAGUAUGUCGUGAUGGGUGGAAUAAUGUCACGCUGUUUAAGCGAUCAGGCUUUGCUGAUCUAGGUGGUGUUGCUAUAGAGUAGCAUCCUGACUGGUAAAGACAAAGACAAAGCUUGGCUGCGCGUGGCCACACCAAGAAGAAGAAGAGGUACUGGCGCGCUGGCACUGGAACGGGGUGGGAGGCUCGUCUACUCUGGUAGCUGGUCUGCCACUGCUCACGACGCCUGCAGGCAACGGGUCAUUAGGAGAGGACCAGUAAGGAGAGGCCACCAGGAGGAGUGUUAUGCCUUACGCGCCAUUCUCAAACGUGCCAUUCUCCCCUGUCUUCGGACGCGACAUUGGGCCAGGCGUGAUCAACUCUCCGCCAGCACCUCGCCCGGAACCGUUGGACCUCGAAGAGAUAGACGGGAGAUUAUUGGUCUUCGAACGUCGUCAAAAUAGACGUUACGCGAACGCUGAACGUAUAUUUCGGGAGGAAAUGACCCGGAUUCGCCAUAAAGUCAAUGAAAUGUAUCGAAACGGGAAAUUUAGGUCCCGCGAAGACAUGCUGAUUUGCAAGACGCAGCGUGAAACAAUAUCGAAGAGGCGACAUCAAAAGCGCAAGGAAGCCAUAAGAAAAUUUUGGCUUAGAAAAAUUGCGUGCAUCUCCCAACAAUAGGCGCUUCCUGGAGUAGACCGGACACCCGUUGGUUUGAUACGCUCCCAUCUUACUGGCUGGAGCUGAAUAAAAUUCUUUAUUACAACCUC
Long non-coding RNA from Ornithodoros turicata, 833 nucleotides. RefSeq lists it as uncharacterized. The transcript has 2 exons. The record is from RefSeq and is a predicted model, not a curated record. NCBI's taxonomy places the organism in Eukaryota, Metazoa, Arthropoda, Arachnida, Ixodida, Argasidae.